AGCGAUCAUCGUUGGCAGACUCAGCGUGUUCUUGAUCUAAGAAGCGUUUGUGGACACAAACGAUUUGGAGCUACCACAUGUGUGAUGGGAUGUCAGCCUUCCGUGGGCUCCUUCUUCUUCUUCUUCUGUCAGGUUUCGUGGCUUUCCACGAGCUUGAAGCGUUGAAGAUUACUCGACUGUCCGUUCCCCGAUGGAUAGAAAAUGGAACCUUAGAGUCUGUCACUUUGGACUGUGAAUACAGUCUCACGGAUAAAGACAACCGCCUUGUUGUCAAAUGGUUUUUUAACGAUGAUCCCAAACCCAUAUACCAGUGGAUUCCAGAACUUGGUUCCCGGCUGGUUUCAGAAAAGCUACAAGGACGUAUUGACAUGAACUUCUCCGUCACUCCAUCCAGCAAGUUCACUGAAUUCAGAAAUCUCCGAAUCCUGAAACCGACGUCCCAGCUUAGUGGCAAGUACUCCUGUCAUGUAGCAUCUUUCAAUGGAAUUGACACAGCAGAAGGAGAAAUGACCGUUUACGCUCCAGCUAAACUUCUUCGCUUCAAUUACACCAAAACGAAGUCCGACCGAGCUAAGUUUAGUUGUGAAGUGGGUCAUGUUUACCCAGUGCCAGACAUCAGCGUAUAUAAAAUAUCACCAGGGGAAAGCGAACCCACCAUCAUAACAGACGGAGUAGCAAAAGUUUCUGAUCAAGACGACAGUUAUAGAGUACUAGUAACUUAUGAGGUAAAAGACAGUGAGCUUAAACCAGAUGGCGCCACACGGUUUGAGUGUCUUAUCCUCUUUCCCGGAACAGACUAUAAGAGAUAUAGCAGCAUAACCUAUUAUCCAGGUGGCGCUGCACGAACCGUAGCAAAUGUUCAGUAUUUUGGAGAUCAGUCACCAAGUGGCAGCCAGAGCAUUUCAACCUACUUAGGCAUGAUCUUUUUAAACGUGGCACUCGUUUUUGGGGGGACGAAUAGGUUACUUUUGGGGCAAUUCUAACCUGCCAAUUUUGUAGAGUUCCCAAUGUUAUCUUCUAAUAAGAUUAUUAGUACCAUGCUUUAUUCUGUCACCAAAGCCAUGAAUCUCAUCCUGGACUAGGGACCACAUAUAAGUCCUGGUACUACGUUGGGUAAAGCUGAUAAUCAGACGUCUCAGACACGAAACGAUUAAGAAAUUUAUCAUCCAUCGCAUUCUUUGUAUUUUCUUUGAGAACCGAGCAGAAAAAGCGGCAAUUCUGUCGUUAGAAAAUCAACUAUUUUGUACUAAACACUUUGGAUGUAUUUAUGC
This 1271-nucleotide unclassified non-coding RNA is filed under the name Limulus polyphemus (Atlantic horseshoe crab). Its description in RNAcentral is "uncharacterized LOC111088141, transcript variant X1". Lineage: Eukaryota; Metazoa; Arthropoda; Merostomata; Xiphosura; Limulidae. The record is from RNAcentral.